UACGAAGGGGGCUAGCGUUGCUCGGAAUCACUGGGCGUAAAGCGCACGUAGGCGGAUUGCUAAGUCAGGGGUGAAAUCCUGGAGCUCAACUCCAGAACUGCCUUUGAUACUGGCGAUCUUGAGUCUGGGAGAGGUGAGUGGAACUGCGAGUGUAGAGGUGAAAUUCGUAGAUAUUCGCAAGAACACCAGUGGCGAAGGCGGCUCACUGGCCCGGUACUGACGCUGAGGUGCGAAAGCGUGGGGAGCAAACAGG
Molecule: ribosomal RNA, 253 nt
Filed under: uncultured bacterium
Lineage: Bacteria
Description: partial 16S ribosomal RNA
Rfam family: Bacterial small subunit ribosomal RNA
Source: RNAcentral